GCUCAGGACGAACGCUGGCGGCGUGCUUAACACAUGCAAGUCGAACGAUGAUGCCCAGCUUGCUGGGUGGAUUAGUGGCGAACGGGUGAGUAACACGUGAGUAACCUGCCCCUGACUCUGGGAUAAGCGUUGGAAACGACGUCUAAUACNGGAUAUGACUGCCGGCCGCAUGGUCUGGUGGUGGAAAGAUUUUUUGGUUGGGGAUGGACUCGCGGCCUAUCAGCUUGUUGGUGAGGUAAUGGCUCACCAAGGCGACGACGGGUAGCCGGCCUGAGAGGGUGACCGGCCACACUGGGACUGAGACACGGCCCAGACUCCUACGGGAGGCAGCAGUGGGGAAUAUUGCACAAUGGGCGAAAGCCUGAUGCAGCAACGCCGCGUGAGGGAUGACGGCCUUCGGGUUGUAAACCUCUUUUAGUAGGGAAGAAGCGAAAGUGACGGUACCUGCAGAAAAAGCACCGGCUAACUACGUGCCAGCAGCCGCGGUAAUACGUAGGGUGCAAGCGUUGUCCGGAAUUAUUGGGCGUAAAGAGCUCGUAGGCGGUUUGUCGCGUCUGCUGUGAAAUCCCGAGGCUCAACCUCGGGCUUGCAGUGGGUACGGGCAGACUAGAGUGCGGUAGGGGAGAUUGGAAUUCCUGGUGUAGCGGUGGAAUGCGCAGAUAUCAGGAGGAACACCGAUGGCGAAGGCAGAUCUCUGGGCCGUAACUGACGCUGAGGAGCGAAAGCGUGGGGAGCGAACAGGAUUAGAUACCCUGGUAGUCCACGCCGUAAACGUUGGGCGCUAGAUGUAGGGACCUUUCCACGGUUUCUGUGUCGUAGCUAACGCAUAAGCG
Molecule: ribosomal RNA, 833 nt
Filed under: Curtobacterium sp.
Lineage: Bacteria; Bacillati; Actinomycetota; Actinomycetes; Micrococcales; Microbacteriaceae
Description: bacterial SSU rRNA
Rfam family: Bacterial small subunit ribosomal RNA
Source: RNAcentral